AGAGUUUGGAUCCUGGCUCAGAACGAACGCUGGCGGCAUGCCUAACACAUGCAAGUCGAACGAGAUCCUUCGGGAUCUAGUGGCGCACGGGUGCGUAACGCGUGGGAAUCUGCCCUUGGGUCCGGAAUAACAGUGAGAAAUUACUGCUAAUACCGGAUGAUGACUUCGGUCCAAAGAUUUAUCGCCCAGGGAUGAGCCCGCGUAAGAUUAGCUAGUUGGUGGGGUAAAGGCCUACCAAGGCGACGAUCUUUAGCUGGUCUGAGAGGAUGAUCAGCCACACUGGGACUGAGACACGGCCCAGACUCCUACGGGAGGCAGCAGUGGGGAAUAUUGGACAAUGGGCGAAAGCCUGAUCCAGCAAUGCCGCGUGAGUGAUGAAGGCCUUAGGGUUGUAAAGCUCUUUUACCCGGGAAGAUAAUGACUGUACCGGGAGAAUAAGCCCCGGCUAACUCCGUGCCAGCAGCCGCGGUAAUACGGAGGGGGCUAGCGUUGUUCGGAAUUACUGGGCGUAAAGCGUACGUAGGCGGUUAUUCAAGUCAGAGGUGAAAGCCUGGAGCUCAACUCCAGAACUGCCUUUGAAACUAGAUAGCUAGAAUCGCGGAGAGGUGAGU
This 611-nucleotide ribosomal RNA is filed under the name uncultured Alphaproteobacteria bacterium. Its description in RNAcentral is "bacterial SSU rRNA". It matches the Rfam family "Bacterial small subunit ribosomal RNA", at positions 8 to 662 of the family's 1533-position model. Lineage: Bacteria; Pseudomonadati; Pseudomonadota; Alphaproteobacteria. The record is from RNAcentral.